ACGGAUAUUGCUAAACAUUCUGUUAGACCCAAGACAGCCCCACAACAAAGAAUUAUCUAAGAUGUCAAGAGUGGAGAGAUUGAGAAAACCUGGUCUAGAGUAAAAGCUUUAGGGCCUGUUGUUUGUUCUGAAGUGUGCUACGGUAGAAGGCAUUCAAAGAAACAAACCUAUUAAAUUUCUCCCCACGCCUCAUUUAUUCCAAAACAGUUUUGAUUGCCCACUAUAUUCAUCGCUGCAUUACUGGUGGCUGAGACAGAGUCUCUGUUUCCGAAGCCAAUGUGCUUCCAAAGAGGCCGUGAUGCUGGGUGAUGGGGAGGAGACAGACUGAGGAAUUUGCUAAAGCCUCCUGAUGUUUGAUUGGAUGGAGAAAAGAAUGGAGCUGGAAUCCCAGUCAGGAAACGAAUACAAGAGGUGAGGUUGGAGCUGAUCGGCCCUGAGCCGGGAUAUCAGCAUCUGCAGUGGAAAAGGCAGAAGAGCUGUUGGGGGAAAUAAAGAGCAAGGCUUGAAGAAAUCCAGGCAGCAGCUGGUUUCUAGGAAGAUACUGAGGAUGUCGCCACUACAACAACCAUGUUGGGUCCUUGUUCCUGUCACCCAGAAACAUAUCCAUGAAGUGAUCCUUCAGGAAUAGCCGUGAAACCCCUGCCUUUGGUAACCAGCCAAGCCAGGGUGUGAUAUUUUUUCCUGUUUAAUUAAAAAAAAAAAAGUUUACCCGUUUGCUUUCGCCAGCUAUCUGAAAGUUCAAAAGGUAAAGAAUAUUUCCCUCCACAAAUAAGCCAUGGAAUGUAUUUGGAAAUUGGGUUUUCAUCAGGAGGUGCUGCUUUUCAGCCACUCACUCCACUGCAAAGGAAGGUGAAAUCGUGAACUCUUUCCUGAAAGGAAAAAAAAAAAAAACUCCCGCAACUUUACAUUUAUAAUUUGAUGACUAUGGGAGGGGCCCUAGGAAUUUAGGGUCAUCUUUCUGACUUUAAUAGAGGCUACUGACCCUCAGAUAAGAGGUACUUGUCAUGCUUCUGGGCACAGGAGAUGUAGUUCACAUUUCCUUUUAAAGGAAACAGCAAGGGGCGCCUGGGUGGCUCAGUCAGUUAAGCAUCUGACUUUGGCUCAGGUCAUGAUCUCGCAGUUCAUGAGUUCAAGCCCCACGUUGGGUUCUGUGCUGACAGCUCAGAGCCUGGAGCCUGUUUUGGAUUCUGAGUCUCCCUCUCUCUCUGCCCCUCCCCCACUCACUCUCUGUCUCUCAAAAAAAUAAAUAAAUGUUAAAAAAAAUGAAAAUAAAUAAAAAAGAUAA
This is a long non-coding RNA of Acinonyx jubatus (cheetah), 1285 nucleotides long. RefSeq lists it as uncharacterized. The record is from RefSeq and is a predicted model, not a curated record. NCBI's taxonomy places the organism in Eukaryota, Metazoa, Chordata, Mammalia, Carnivora, Felidae. The transcript is spliced from 3 exons.